Molecule: long non-coding RNA, 1522 nt
Filed under: Sinocyclocheilus anshuiensis
Lineage: Eukaryota; Metazoa; Chordata; Actinopteri; Cypriniformes; Cyprinidae
Description: lncRNA (ENSSANG00000033596.1)
Source: RNAcentral
CUCAGAGUAUUUCUUUAAUAUUACUGAUGCACUGAUUUCUUUGUAGUUUUGCGCAGGGUCCUCUGAAAGACGCUCCUAACCUGAUCUGUACGCCGCACACAGCCUGGUACAGCGAGCAGGCGUCUCUGGAGAUGAGAGAAGCAGCCGCUACAGAGAUACGCAGAGCCAUCACAGGUACACACGCUAAUGAAUGAGCCUCCGGUCAUUAACGAGCUGAUCUGAGUGAUUAAAACAGUCCCUGUGCGUCUCAGGCCGGAUUCCUGACAGUCUGAGGAACUGUGUGAAUAAGGAGUUCUUCCUCUCAUCGGGUUCCUGGGGCCUGAUGGAGCAGCAGGUUCAUCCUGAGCUCAACGGCGCCGCCUACAGGUACGACUAGAAUCAUAUUUAAUGUUCAUCGAGCUCAUCAUUCAUUAUUUGUUUGAUUUUCAUUCAUUGUUUCACCAUGAUCCCAACCCCGUAAGCUCCACCCCCACACAGUCACGUGACAUGAGUUUAACUCUGAGCCCCGCCCACAUCUGCUUCUCUCACGCAGCCAAGUCAACCAAUCAAUGCAGGCCAUCAUGACUGGCUCCGCCCCCCAAGACAAAAUCAAUGCCUAAAGCAAGAGCAGGUUCCCAUCAGGUCUGGCUGCAGUGGCAGCGGGUUUGGAGGGUCUGGUGCCGGUGACCCACUCACUGCCCGCCGGAAACCACCCAAACACCGUCCCAAACCAGCCCUCGAAACACGGAGAGAGCAGAGAACAGCUGAGCGAGCAAUAGCAUCUUCAUCUUCAUCAUCAUCAUCAUCUUUCAUUCUUUUCCUUUUUCCCGUUUUGGAGGAAGUGGAUGUUUUUGGCGUCUCAUCAACACACGGAAUGGGGUUUGCUAGUUUGACGUGUUUCUUUUCACAAUCAUCUCUCUUACAUGUGAAUAAUUCAAUUGAAAUAAAUCAGGCAAUAGGACGAAAGUGACGCCCGAAGCCACGCCCACUCAGCCAUCCAUCACGAUGAUUGACAGCUCAGCGCUCUGCUCUGAUUGGCCAGGGCUCUCAGACUUCAGCCAAGGAGUGAAACACCAAACAAAAUCUUGCUCUCGUGUUUUGUUUGUGAAUCUGUUCAUCAAACUGUGAUCUCUACUAACGAACAGUUCUGUUUCUUUCUCGUACCAGCAGCAGUUUCGUCUUUUAUAUUCGAUGCAUUCUUGGUUUCAGCUUCACUAUAAGACUCAGGAAGAUCUCACCUUCACAGUUUUUCUUUUUCUCCACCAACUCUUGUCCAGAUUGCUGCAUAUGAACAGAUAUUUUCUCUCGUGCGUUCUCAUGUUAGUAUUUUUAUACAGUGACACGUCUCGAUGGACAAGCAGUGAAACUCAGUAGGUUUGUGUGGUUUAGAUGAAUGUCCUGUACUCAUAGUCUCGUGUGGCGUUGUCUGUCAGAAAGCCAGAUCUGAUUCAGAAGCGGGAGGUUGUGUGUUUUAUUGUGAUUAUUUGUAUGUGUUUCUUGUAUACGGUGAACAUUUAGCAUCAGUGCAGAUUGAAUAAAUCAU